This 1516-nucleotide ribosomal RNA is filed under the name uncultured prokaryote. RNAcentral's name for it is "partial 16S ribosomal RNA". It matches the Rfam family "Bacterial small subunit ribosomal RNA". The record is from RNAcentral.
AGAGUUUGAUCCUGGCUCAGGACGAACGCUGGCGGCGUGCUUAACACAUGCAAGUCAAGGAGAACGGGAAUCUUCGGAAUCCCUAUUAAACUGGCGAACGGGUGAGUAACACGUAGGUAACCUGCCCUAGAGACCGGGAUAACACUGCCAACGCGGUGCUAAUACCGGAUACAACAACAGAAUCACAUGUUUUUGUUGUGAAAGCUGCCUUCGGGUAGUACUUUAGGAUGGACCUGCGUCCCAUUAGUUUGUUGGUAGGGUAACGGCCUACCAAGACAGCGAUGGGUAGCCGGCCUGAGAGGGUGAACGGCCACACUGGGACUGAGAUACGGCCCAGACUCCUACGGGAGGCAGCAGUGAGGAAUAUUGGGCAAUGGCCGAAAGGCUGACCCAGCAACGCCGCGUGAGGGAUGAAGCUCUAAGGAGUGUAAAGUUCUGUUAGGAGGGACGAAUAGUAUCCAAGCGAAUAGGCCCUAGAUCUGACGGUACCUUAGGAAUAAGGGACGGCUAACUCCGUGCCAGCAGCCGCGGUAAUACGGAGGUCCCAAGCGUUGUUCGGAUUUACUGGGCGUAAAGGGAGCGCAGGCGGAUCGGUAAGUGGAAAGUGGAAUUCCGGGGCUCAACCUCGGAAGUGCUUUCCAAACUGUCGGUCUUGAGUACGUGAGAGGAAGGCGGAAUUCAGGGUGUAGCGGUGAAAUGCUUAGAUAUCCUGAGGAACACCAAUGGCGAAAGCAGCCUUCUGGCACGAAACUGACGCUGAGGCUCGAAAGCGUGGGGAGCGAACAGGAUUAGAUACCCUGGUAGUCCACGCCGUAAACGUUGUAUACUAGGUGUAGGAGGUAUCGACCCCUCCUGUGCCGCAGCUAACGCAUUAAGUAUACCGCCUGGGGAGUACGCGCGCAAGCGUGAAACUCAAAGGAAUUGACGGGGGCCCGCACAAGCGGUGGAGCAUGUGGUUUAAUUCGAGGCAACGCGAAGAACCUUACCCAGACUUGACAUCUCGAGACAUCCCUGGAAACAGGGCUUUCCCUUCGGGGACUCGAAGACAGGUGUUGCAUGGCUGUCGUCAGCUCGUGUCGUGAGAUGUUGGGUUAAGUCCCGCAACGAGCGCAACCCCUGUUCUCAGUUACCAGCACGUUAUGGUGGGCACUCUGAGGAGACUGCCGGUGAUAAGCCGGAGGAAGGUGGGGACGACGUCAAGUCAUCAUGGCCCUUACGUCUGGGGCUACACACGUGCUACAAUGGCCGGUACAAUGAGCUGCAAUGCCGCGAGGUGGAGCUAAUCUCAAAAAGCCGGUCUCAGUUCGGAUUGGAGUCUGCAACUCGACUCCAUGAAGUUGGAAUCGCUAGUAAUCGCGUAUCAGCUACGACGCGGUGAAUACGUUCCCGGGCCUUGUACACACCGCCCGUCACAUGACCCGAGUCGGGUGCACCCGAAGUCGCUGACCGAACCCGCAAGGGACGGAAGCGCCGAAGGUGUGCUUGGUAAGGGGGAUGAAGUCGUAACAAGGUAACC